Molecule: ribosomal RNA, 253 nt
Filed under: uncultured bacterium
Lineage: Bacteria
Description: partial 16S ribosomal RNA
Rfam family: Bacterial small subunit ribosomal RNA
Source: RNAcentral
UACGUAGGGGGCAAGCGUUGUCCGGAAUUAUUGGGCGUAAAGAGCUCGUAGGCGGUCUGUCGCGUCUGCUGUGAAAACUCGGGGCUUAACCCCGGGCCUGCAGUGGGUACGGGCAGACUAGAGUGCGGUAGGGGAGACUGGAAUUCCUGGUGUAGCGGUGGAAUGCGCAGAUAUCAGGAGGAACAUCCGUGGCGAAGGCGGCUCUCUGGGACGGUACUGACGCUGAGACGCGAAAGCGUGGGGAGCGAACAGG